GCCGACUCCAUUGAUCUACUAAAUCUUUUGCAAGUUUCCGGUUGGAUGUUGUUUCCUCAUCAGAUUUUGAUAGAAACAUAAUAACCUUUCCAAGGCCACUCUUCUUCAGCUGCUCUCUUCUAUCAUAUUGCUCAAGAUCUAUUGGAAAAUCAGUCAAAAUCUUCAAGAUUGCUUCCCGGAUAUUUAUAUUCGGCAAACUCCCAUCUGGUAGAGGUUCAAGCCAAUUCUUUAGAAGGGUUAGCACUCCGUGAUCCAAGAAUUCUUGUUGCAGCUGCUUCUUUGAAAGAACAUCAGUGAGAAGGGGCAACUUUUUCAGUUUAUUGACAGCAGGUUUCCCCUGCCUGUUAAGGUCUGCAUCCUCUUCAGCAGUGACCUCAAGCUCGGCCAUCACAUUCUCCACUAGCAAUGCUAUUUCUGCAGGACUUUUCUCAGUCUUCUUCUUCUUCUUACCCAUCUUGAAGAGCUGAUUAAUUUCAUCAUCUUCCUCGCCUUCCUCGGCCUCUGGAGCAUAGCGGGGAGAGCGUGGCUCGUCAUCACUUCCAUACCGAUCAGCAGGAUCCACACCACUAUCAUCUAUAAAAUUAUCAUCGUCAACUGUUCUGGUACCUUCAUGAUCAUCAUCAGAAGCGCCACCAGCAAUAGUCUCCCACAUCUCCUUGACAUCCCCAUCCUGAUCCUUCAUCCCCUUCCCUGAAAAGGCCUUCUUCG
Molecule: unclassified non-coding RNA, 708 nt
Filed under: Hevea brasiliensis (rubber tree)
Lineage: Eukaryota; Viridiplantae; Streptophyta; Magnoliopsida; Malpighiales; Euphorbiaceae
Source: RNAcentral